GCAUGUGGCUCAGUGGUAGAGAGCUUGUCUGUUAUGCAUGAGGAGCUGGGUUCAAACCCCAGCACUGCA
RNAcentral lists this transfer RNA (69 nucleotides) under Ictidomys tridecemlineatus (thirteen-lined ground squirrel). RNAcentral describes it as "Spermophilus tridecemlineatus (thirteen-lined ground squirrel) tRNA". It matches the Rfam family "tRNA". From Rfam's summary of the family: Transfer RNA (tRNA) molecules are approximately 80 nucleotides in length. The record is from Rfam by way of RNAcentral. Lineage: Eukaryota; Metazoa; Chordata; Mammalia; Rodentia; Sciuridae.